This 492-nucleotide ribosomal RNA is filed under the name uncultured bacterium. RNAcentral describes it as "partial 16S ribosomal RNA". It matches the Rfam family "Bacterial small subunit ribosomal RNA", at positions 29 to 507 of the family's 1533-position model. The record is from RNAcentral.
AGUGAACGCUGGCGGUAGGCCUAACACAUGCAAGUCGAACGGCAGCACAGUAAGAGCUUGCUCUUACGGGUGGCGAGUGGCGGACGGGUGAGGAAUACAUCGGAAUCUACUUUUUCGUGGGGGAUAACGUAGGGAAACUUACGCUAAUACCGCAUACGACCUACGGGUGAAAGCAGGGGAUCUUCGGACCUUGCGCGAUUGAAUGAGCCGAUGUCGGAUUAGCUAGUUGGCGGGGUAAAGGCCCACCAAGGCGACGAUCCGUAGCUGGUCUGAGAGGAUGAUCAGCCACACUGGAACUGAGACACGGUCCAGACGCCUACGGGAGGCAGCAGUGGGGAAUAGUGGACAAUGGGCGCAAGCCUGAUCCAGCCAUACCGCGUGGGUGAAGAAGGCCUUCGGGUUGUAAAGCCCUUUUGUUGGGAAAGAAAAGCAGCAGGUUAAUACCCCGCUGUUCUGACGGUACCCAAAGAAUAAGCACCGGCUAACUUCGUG